UGGGAGUGAGAAGGCCCAUGAAUAAUCCCUAUACAUAGAUAUUUCCCCUCUGAAUCUGAGCUCUUGGGCCUCCUGAUAAGUCAGACAUGGAGGUAGAAGGUAGCAGGGUGGGAAUGGGCAGGAGGGCGAUCUUUUAGUGCAAGUGUGCAUGUGUGCCUUUGUGUGUGUGUUUGUGUGUUAGACCAUCAGUUGAAAGGUUUCCAUGGAGACAGGCCAGUUUAAGUAGCAGGGCCUUUAUGCAGGGCUGGUUUGGAUGCCAAACAGUGAUCACUUUGCUGCGAGAGUUCUUUAAGGCUCCCUUUGACACUGCAUGGAGAGAAGUGUGCCUGGUACACAUAUUCCAGUAUGCCAGAUGUCUCCUGUAUUUCUGGAGGUGUAGGCCAUAGUGGGAAUGCACCAAUCUCUAGGGCAAUGAAUUGACCUCCCAGAAUAUCAUAGUGCCCUGGAAUAUCAUCCUGUGGACCUGUUUAAGUAUGGAUUUAAGCUUUUGUCUAUGCUUCUACUCUAAGAUGUUGCUGAAAGUAGAACAACAUUUAAAUAUGUGGAGAAGAAACCAAAAGCCAGCAGCAAAUGCACCUGAGAACAGGAGCCACCUCCAUCUACUGUCCUGUCACCCCUCACCUACUGUGGAUCUUGUCCUUCUCUGUAGUAAUCAUAAGGUCUCCUACUGCACUUGCUUAGAGAAAAGCUGAGGAGAAAGAAAUGCAGGGAGGUGGACAUAGGUGGUGAGAUGCCCCCUCUCAGUGUCACAGGUCAUCUUUUUUUCUCAUUGAGUUGCAUGCACUCACUUUUCACCCUUGAGGACAGCUGAGCUUACCUAUGUCCUCAGUUACAUGCAUCCCCCAUUUAAUCUGAGGGGAGCAGGUCUGUGCAUGCAUGCACCCACAUUCACACUCAGGCGACCCACAGUGAGGCUUGGUGGGCUGGAGCCCUCGACUGACUUGUCAGUUCCCUGUGUUUCCCCAUCCCCCUCCUCCCUUGUUCCUUUCUGCCUUCCCACUUCAGCCAGGGGGACUGUGUGGAGGAAGCAGCAGCAUCAGUGGAGCAACAGGUCUCUAUCUGCACAAGGUUCACACCCUGGUCCUGUUUUGCUGAGAAGACAGCCUUGGUUGGUGGCUCUCUUCCCUGUGAGGAUAGGGGAUGCCACUCAGUGGGACACCUAUGCAUUUGUUACUUAAGGUAUUCUAGUUGACUUCUGCCUUACUAUAAUUCUGUUUUUGUUUUUCACCUGUUCCUCCCCUGGCUUUCCAUUUUUGCUUGUCUUUUCUUGUUUUUCAAUUGUUUCUUUGUUGUUCUGACAGGAAGGGGACCUUGAAAGGAAGCAGGAGGAUCAGACAGAGAAUGAAAUGACUUCAUUGGAAAUCAUAAUGACCCUUGUGGACUGGGGGAGUGAAGAGCUAUCCCCUCUUCUUUCUUGCCUUGAGUACCAUGCACACAGAUCAAGUUGCCCUAGCCUCAUCUGAUUUUAUCCAUUUUGUGUCCACUGUGUUCCUGGUUUCUGCACCUAUCUUGGUCCUUGGGAAGAUGUAUGUGUGUGUGUG
This 1541-nucleotide long non-coding RNA is filed under the name Marmota monax (woodchuck). Lineage: Eukaryota; Metazoa; Chordata; Mammalia; Rodentia; Sciuridae. The record is from RNAcentral.